Molecule: transfer RNA, 63 nt
Filed under: Anaplecta sp. 8 ZQW-2020
Lineage: Eukaryota; Metazoa; Arthropoda; Insecta; Blattodea; Anaplectidae
Description: tRNA-Asp
Source: RNAcentral
GAGGGUUUAGUUAAAAAAUAACACUGGAUUGUCAAGCCAAAAUUAUCAAAAUGAUAUCCCUCU